UUAUGGGCUACACGCGCAAUACAAAGGACGGGACAAUGGGCUGCAANUCCGAGAGGAACGACGCUAUCCCCGAAACCCCGUUCGUAGUUCGGGAUUGAGGGGCUGUAACUCGCCCUCAUGAAGCUGGAUUAGGUAGUAAUCGCGUCUCAAUAGGGCGCGGUGAAUAUGCCCCUGCUCCUUGCACACACCGCCCGUCAAACCAUCUUAGUUAGGGGUGGGUGAGGCUACCUUAACCAUGGGGUAUUCGAGCCUGCCUUUGACAAGGAGGGUUAAGUCGUAACAAGGUA
RNAcentral lists this ribosomal RNA (287 nucleotides) under uncultured archaeon. Its description in RNAcentral is "partial 16S ribosomal RNA". It matches the Rfam family "Archaeal small subunit ribosomal RNA", at positions 1163 to 1445 of the family's 1478-position model. The record is from RNAcentral.